CCUACGGGCGGCAGCAGUGGGGAAUAUUGCACAAUGGGGGAAACCCUGAUGCAGCGACGCCGCGUGAGGGAAGAAGUAUUUCGGUAUGUAAAGCUCUAUCAGCAGGGAAGAAAAUGACGGUAUUGGAUUAAGAAGGCACGGCUAACUACGUGCCAGCAGCCGCGGUAAUACGUAGGGGGCAAGCGGUAGCCGGAUGUACUGGGUGAAAAGGGAGCGGAAACGGCAGCACCAGGCGGGAGUGAAAUGCCGGGGCUUUACCCCGGAACUGCUUGUGCAACGGUGCAGCUAGAGUGCAGGAGCGGUCAGUGGCCUUCCUCGUGUAGCGGUGCCAUGCGUCGAUAUUAG
RNAcentral lists this ribosomal RNA (345 nucleotides) under uncultured bacterium. Its description in RNAcentral is "partial 16S ribosomal RNA". It matches the Rfam family "Bacterial small subunit ribosomal RNA", at positions 338 to 700 of the family's 1533-position model. The record is from RNAcentral.